This 496-nucleotide ribosomal RNA is filed under the name uncultured bacterium. Its description in RNAcentral is "partial 16S ribosomal RNA". It matches the Rfam family "Bacterial small subunit ribosomal RNA", at positions 29 to 507 of the family's 1533-position model. The record is from RNAcentral.
AUGAACGCUGGCGGCGUGCCUAAUACAUGCAAGUCGAGCGAACAGACGAGGAGCUUGCUCCUCAGACGUUAGCGGCGGACGGGUGAGUAACACGUGGAUAACCUACCUAUAAGACUGGGAUAACUUCGGGAAACCGGAGCUAAUACCGGAUAAUAUAUUGAACCGCAUGGUUCCAUAGUGAAAGACGGUUUUGCUGUCACUUAUAGAUGGAUCCGCGCCGCAUUAGCUAGUUGGUAAGGUAACGGCUUACCAAGGCAACGAUGCGUAGCCGACCUGAGAGGGUGAUCGGCCACACUGGAACUGAGACACGGUCCAGACUCCUACGGGAGGCAGCAGUAGGGAAUCUUCCGCAAUGGGCGAAAGCCUGACGGAGCAACGCCGCGUGAGUGAUGAAGGUCUUCGGAUCGUAAAACUCUGUUAUUAGGGAAGAACAAAUGUGUAAGUAACUAUGCACGUCUUGACGGUACCUAAUCAGAAAGCCACGGCUAACUACGUG